AAGAAAUAUACAUAGAUAAUGCAAAUGACAGUUAUUCAGCUGUGCAAAUGCUCUACUGUAAAGUCACUUAGCUAGCCUCCAGUGCCAGCAGCAGCCAGCUUAGCAGCAUAAAGCAGCACUCAAGGAAGGCAGCCGUAAUCGUCGCAG
Long non-coding RNA from Drosophila arizonae, 147 nucleotides. The record is from RefSeq and is a predicted model, not a curated record. NCBI's taxonomy places the organism in Eukaryota, Metazoa, Arthropoda, Insecta, Diptera, Drosophilidae.